RNAcentral lists this unclassified non-coding RNA (395 nucleotides) under soil metagenome. RNAcentral describes it as "partial contains 5.8S ribosomal RNA, internal transcribed spacer 2, and large subunit ribosomal RNA". The stretch from base 1 to 122 matches the Rfam family "5.8S ribosomal RNA", at positions 35 to 154 of the family's 154-position model. The record is from RNAcentral.
GAUGAAGAACGUAGCGAAAUGCGAUACUUGGUGUGAAUUGCAGAAUCCCGUGAACCAUCGAGUCUUUGAACGCAAGUUGCGCCCGAAGCCAUCAGGUUGAGGGCACGUCUGCCUGGGCGUCACAUAUCGUUGCCCAAUGCCUAUUGCAGUGCAAUAGGAAUUUCUAGGGCGAAUGAUGGCUUCCCGUGAGCGUUGUUGCCUCGCGGUUGGUUGAAAAUCGAGUCCUUGGUAGGGUGUGCCAUGGUAGAUGGUGGUCCAGUUAGAACGAUACCGAUCAUGUGCAUGCUCCCCAAAAUAUGGCCUCUAUGACCCACACGCGUCUUUUGACGCUCAUGACGAGACCUCAGGUCAGGCGGGGCUACCCGCUGAAUUUAAGCAUAUCAAUAAGCGGAGGA